Molecule: ribosomal RNA, 229 nt
Filed under: uncultured bacterium
Lineage: Bacteria
Description: partial 16S ribosomal RNA
Rfam family: Bacterial small subunit ribosomal RNA
Source: RNAcentral
CCGCAUGCAGGGGGAUACCAGCUGGAAACAGCUGCUAAUACCGCAUAUGCGCACGGCGCCGCAUGGCGCAGUGCGGAAAGGGAGCAAUCCCGGCAUGCGAUGGGUCCGCGUCCGAUUAGCUUGUUGGCGGGGCAGCGGCCCACCAAGGCGACGAUCGGUAGCCGGCCUGAGAGGGCGGACGGCCACAUUGGGACUGAGACACGGCCCAGACUCCUACGGAAGGCAGCAG